This 403-nucleotide ribosomal RNA is filed under the name Bacteroidota bacterium. RNAcentral describes it as "Bacteroidetes bacterium partial 16S ribosomal RNA". It matches the Rfam family "Bacterial small subunit ribosomal RNA", at positions 355 to 776 of the family's 1533-position model. Lineage: Bacteria; Pseudomonadati; Bacteroidota. The record is from RNAcentral.
UGGGGAAUAUUGCACAAUGGGGGAAACCCUUAUGCAGCGACGCCGCGUUAACGAAGAAGGUAUUCGUAUCGUAAAGUUCUUUCCUAUGGGAAGAUAAUGACAGUACCAUAGAAGAAAGCUCCGGCUAAAUACGUUCCAGCACCCGCGGUAAUACGUAUGGAGCGAGCGUUGUCCGGAAUUAUUGGGCGUAAAGGGUACGCAGGCGGUUUAAUAAGUCGAAUGUUAAAGAUCGGGGCUCAACCCCGUAAAGCAUUGGAAACUGAUAAACUUGAGGAGUGGAGAGGAAAGUGGAAUUCCUAGUGUAGUGGUGAAAUACGUAGAUAUUAGGAGGAAUACCAGUAGCGAAGGCGACUUUCUGGACACAAACUGACGCUGAGGUACGAAAGCGUGGGGAGAAAACAGG